UGAACGCUGGCGGCAUGCCUUACACAUGCAAGUCGAACGGCAGCGCGGGGCAACCUGGCGGCGAGUGGCGAACGGGUGAGUAAUAUAUCGGAACGUGCCCUGGAGUGGGGGAUAACGCAGCGAAAGUUGCGCUAAUACCGCAUACGAUCUAAGGAUGAAAGCAGGGGACCGCAAGGCCUUGUGCUCCUGGAGCGGCCGAUAUCUGAUUAGCUAGUUGGUGGGGUAAAGGCCUACCAAGGCAUCGAUCAGUAGCUGGUCUGAGAGGACGACCAGCCACACUGGAACUGAGACACGGUCCAGACUCCUACGGGAGGCAGCAGUGGGGAAUUUUGGACAAUGGGCGCAAGCCUGAUCCAGCAAUGCCGCGUGAGUGAAGAAGGCCUUCGGGUUGUAAAGCUCCUUUGUCAGGGAAGAAACGGUAUGGGCUAAUAUCCCGUACUAAUGACGGUACCUGAAGAAUAAGCACCGGCUAACUACGUGCCAGCAGCCGCGGUAAUACGUAGGGUGCAAGCGUUAAUCGGAAUUACUGGGCGUAAAGCGUGCGCAGGCGGUUUUGUAAGUCUGUCGUGAAAUCCCCGGGCUCAACCUGGGAAUUGCGAUGGAGACUGCAAGGCUAGAAUCUGGCAGAGGGGGGUAGAAUUCCACGUGUAGCAGUGAAAUGCGUAGAGAUGUGGAGGAACACCGAUGGCGAAGGCACCCCCUGGGUCAAGAUUGACGCUCAUGCACGAAAGCGUGGGG
This 738-nucleotide ribosomal RNA is filed under the name uncultured bacterium. Its description in RNAcentral is "bacterial SSU rRNA". It matches the Rfam family "Bacterial small subunit ribosomal RNA", at positions 30 to 766 of the family's 1533-position model. The record is from RNAcentral.